UGCCUUGAAGAUCGGAGUGCUUGCACUCUGUGAAACAAGAUACAGGCUAGCGGCGGACGGGUGAGUAACACGUGGGUAACCUGCCCAAGAGAUCGGGAUAACACCUGGAAACAGAUGCUAAUACCGGAUAACAACAGAUGAUGCCUAUCAACUGUUUAAAAGAUGGUUCUGCUAUCACUCUUGGAUGGACCUGCGGUGCAUUAGCUAGUUGGUAGGGUAACGGCCUACCAAGGCGAUGAUGCAUAGCCGAGUUGAGAGACUGAUCGGCCACAUUGGGACUGAGACACGGCCCAAACUCCUACGGGAGGCAGCAGUAGGGAAUCUUCCACAAUGGACGCAAGUCUGAUGGAGCAACGCCGCGUGAGUGAAGAAGGGUUUCGGCUCGUAAAGCUCUGUUGUUGGUGAAGAAGGACAGGGGUAGUAACUGACCUCUGUUUGACGGUAAU
Molecule: ribosomal RNA, 446 nt
Filed under: uncultured Lactobacillus sp.
Lineage: Bacteria; Bacillati; Bacillota; Bacilli; Lactobacillales; Lactobacillaceae
Description: bacterial SSU rRNA
Rfam family: Bacterial small subunit ribosomal RNA
Source: RNAcentral